UACGUAAGGGGCGAGCGUUGCUCGGAAUUACUGGGCGUAAAGGGCGUGUAGGUGGUCAUACAAGUCGAGUGUAAAAAACCACGGCUCAACCGUGGGACUGCAUUCGAAACUGUAUGACUAGAGUCUGGUGGAGGGCGAUAGAAUUCCCGGUGUAGCGGUGAAAUGCGUAGAUAUCGGGAAGAAUACCGAAGGCGAAAGCAGUCGCCUAUGCCAAGACUGACACUGAGGCGCGAAAGCAUGGGGAU
This 245-nucleotide ribosomal RNA is filed under the name uncultured bacterium. Its description in RNAcentral is "partial 16S ribosomal RNA". It matches the Rfam family "Bacterial small subunit ribosomal RNA", at positions 524 to 768 of the family's 1533-position model. The record is from RNAcentral.